AUGCGCACCCUGGCGGCGGAGCGGCCCAAGCGCUGGCUGAGGGGCCCGCCACCCAGGGCGCGCCGCCCCCGACCCCUGCCGCUCCCACUCCCCGCCGGCAGGGGACGGGAUUUCUCUCUGGGACAGCUGGCCCGCGUUUUGGGAUCCAGUAGGCUCGAAGUGGCCUCAGACGAAUAUUUAGAAGAUGUUUCAAAGAAGGUGAAAAGUGGGCUAAUGUUUGUAAAACUGGUUAACUGGUGUUCAGGAGACGGAGCCAUUUAGUUGUUCGCUAUGUGUCUACAGCAGCUGUUUGAAGUAAAAGUUUUCAACCAUUCUUGGUUUAUAAAUCAAUCAGUUCAAUCAAGAGGCCGUCUCCACUUUGCCACACCUGUGGAUCCUCUAGUUCUGCUGCUCCACUACCUCAUAAAGGCUGAUGAGGAGGGGAAGUUUCAGCCCCUCGCUAUCAAGUUGUGGUGGAUAACGUGUUUGCAAAUUGCAUCUUGUUGCUGAAACUUCCUGAACUUGAGAAGUUACUUCACCGUGUGACAGAGGAAAAAGAAAUAGACAACAAGAACUAUUACAAGUACAGUGAAAAGAAGACAUUAAAGUGGCUGGAAGAAAAGGUUAAACUACGGCAGCAUUAAAAACCAGUAAUGUGAAUGUCAUUUCCCGGGUACAGUCAGCUGCAUUUUUCUCUGGUGACCAAGUUUCCGCUGACAAGGAAGAGGAUUAUAUUUUUUAUGCCCAUGGCCUGAUAUCUGAUUACAUCCCUAAAGAAUUAAGUAAUGACUUAUCUAAAUACUUAAAGCUUCCAGAACCUUCAGCCUCAUUGCCAAAUCCUCCAUCAAAGCAAAUAAGGUUAUCAGAUGAGCCUGUAGAAGCAAAAGAAGAUUACACUAAGUUUAAUACUAAGGAUUUGAAGACUGAAAAGAAAAAUAGCAAAAUGACUGCAGCUCAGAAGGCUUUGGCUAAAGCUGACAAGAGUGGAAUGAAAAGUAUUGAUACCUUUUUUUGGUGUAAAAAAUUAAAAAUGGGAAACGUUUGAA
Molecule: RNA transcript, 1025 nt
Organism: Mandrillus leucophaeus (drill)
Lineage: Eukaryota; Metazoa; Chordata; Mammalia; Primates; Cercopithecidae
Gene name: ribonuclease H2 subunit B pseudogene
Exons: 2
Source: RefSeq, a predicted model, not a curated record